GACGAACGCUGGCGGCGUGCUUAACACAUGCAAGUCGAACGAAGUGGCGAACGGGUGAGUAAAGCGUAAUCAACCUGCCCUUCAGAGGGGGAAAACAGUUGGAAACGACUGCUAAUACCGCAUACUGAAGGAGGGGAUUGCGGUUGAAUGGCUAGUUGGGGGGGUAAGGGCCCACGAAGGCGAUGAUCAGUAGCCGGGCUGAGAGGAUGAACGGCCACAUUGGGACUGAGACACGGUCCAGACUCCUACGGGAGGCAGCAGUAGGGAAUCUUCCGCAAUGGGCGAAAGCCUGACGGAGCAACGCCGCGUGAGUGAUGAAGGUCUUCGGAUCGUAAAACUCUGUUAUUAGGGAAGCGGUACCUAAUCAGAAAGCCACGGCUAACUACGUGCCAGCAGCCGCGGUAAUUC
RNAcentral lists this ribosomal RNA (408 nucleotides) under uncultured bacterium. RNAcentral describes it as "partial 16S ribosomal RNA". It matches the Rfam family "Bacterial small subunit ribosomal RNA", at positions 28 to 526 of the family's 1533-position model. The record is from RNAcentral.